AGUGAACGCUGGCGGUAGGCCUAACACAUGCAAGUCGAACGGCAGCACAGUAAGAGCUUGCUCUUACGGGUGGCGAGUGGCGGACGGGUGAGGAAUACAUCGGAAUCUACUUUUUCGUGGGGGAUAACGUAGGGAAACUUACGCUAAUACCGCAUACGACCUACGGGUGAAAGCAGGGGAUCUUCGGACCUUGCGCGAUUGAAUGAGCCGAUGUCGGAUUAGCUAGUUGGCGGGGUAAAGGCCCACCAAGGCGACGAUCUGUAGCUGGUCUGAGAGGAUGAUCAGCCACACUGGAACUGAGACACGGUCCAGACUCCUACGGGAGGCAGCAGUGGGGAAUAUUGGACAAUGGGCGCAAGCCUGAUCCAGCCAUACCGCGUGGGCGAAGAAGGCCUUCGGGUUGUAAAGCCCUUUUGUUGGGAAAGAAAAGCAGCAGGUUAAUACCCCGCUGUUCUGACGGUACCCAAAGAAUAAGCACCGGCUAACUUCGUG
This 492-nucleotide ribosomal RNA is filed under the name uncultured bacterium. RNAcentral describes it as "partial 16S ribosomal RNA". It matches the Rfam family "Bacterial small subunit ribosomal RNA", at positions 29 to 507 of the family's 1533-position model. The record is from RNAcentral.